GAGAGUGGGCAGGAGGUAGGUGAGGACAUGGGACAAGAAGAGAAUACUGACACUUAGAUCGCUACUACCGGGAAGGUUUUGGAUUUCCUAGACUGGAUAAGGAAUGAAGCUAACGUGAAGAACAAAAGGAAAUCAUUUCUUAUUCUGGACACGUGAAGAAGGACUCAGCUAUUCACAGACGUGCUUUUCUGUGCAAGGUUUUCUGCGCAGGCUCCACACUCUGCACGGGGGAGUCUCAGAGUCAUUUCGGCUAGAAUUCAGCUGUGCACUCACAAUAAGGCCGUGAUGGGCCAGACUUGAUACAGUGAUCCUGGUGGAAUUGAACUCACGACCUUGCGCUUGCCAGUGCCCAACCCUCUCCCUGUCUGCCACAACAAGAAAAAGAUCUGCAAAAUUAGCUGGUGUCUGAAAUUCCUUUCUUGGGAAACCAAACUUCUGAUUGGAGAAAAGAAGUUUGCUCUGGAAAAACCUGGGUAUAGGAGAUUCAAGAACCACUGCAGUCAAAAUGUGGCCAAAGGGUCGGAGUUCUCUGAGUAAAGAAGAAGAGUACUCCUGACCCUGAGGAUUCGAGACCAUGAUGAGUAGGAAGAUGGCAAGAAGCUCAGCGGGUGUGAAGAAUUAAGAGCAGGAAAUGCCAGGAUUAUCACAUUUGGAGGUGUUUUGUGUGCCAUUGUAAGGAAUGCCUCUGUCCUUUCCGUCCCAUCUUCCUUAUAAA
Chinchilla lanigera (long-tailed chinchilla) is the source of this 715-nucleotide long non-coding RNA. RefSeq lists it as uncharacterized. The transcript has 5 exons. The record is from RefSeq and is a predicted model, not a curated record. NCBI's taxonomy places the organism in Eukaryota, Metazoa, Chordata, Mammalia, Rodentia, Chinchillidae.